ACUUAUGAUGAUGUUUGAUUUGAAAUCAAAUUAGUUGCUUUUAUUAGCAACAUAAGUU
RNAcentral lists this transfer RNA (58 nucleotides) under Taenia sp. MZH:127052. RNAcentral's name for it is "tRNA-Ser (UCN)". Lineage: Eukaryota; Metazoa; Platyhelminthes; Cestoda; Cyclophyllidea; Taeniidae. The record is from RNAcentral.